Molecule: small RNA, 669 nt
Filed under: Pan troglodytes (chimpanzee)
Lineage: Eukaryota; Metazoa; Chordata; Mammalia; Primates; Hominidae
Description: processed transcript
Source: RNAcentral
GUCUCUGGAGUAGUUGUUUGCUGCCUGCCGGAGGCAGCUUCUGAAAUCGUGAGGGAUGCUCUCCGAGCAGCUGUGGGCUGGGCUGGCUGAGGCACUUUGAUCCGGUUUUCCAGUUCUUGCACAAGCAAGUUUUUGUCAGCCACGCCCUGGGGAGGAUCCACUGGAUCACCGCCGUCACAGCCUGUUCCCGGUGGCCUCUCCGGCUUCCCUAAAGAGAGCAGCUUCCCUGGAGACCAGAAGCCAGAGCUCACCCUCCCUUGUGUCCAGGUGGGACUUUCUACAACGCUGCUAUGCACGACGCGGAUGCCGUAUGCAUGUUGCUGGGGGAAGCCACUCCGGACACUGUGUUUUCUCUGGGACAUGUCUUCUGCCCAGAUAUGGCCGCCUUAAAAGAUGCAGAUGCUGUUGUGAUCAGCAUGAAGUUUCCCUGUGAGGCUGUGGUCAGCGUGGACAUCAGCCAGCACUGCACAGACAGCUGCGACCAGGACGUCAGCCAGCACUGCACAGACAGCUGCAACCAGGACGUCAGCCAGCACUGCACAGACAGCUGCGACCAGGAUGUCAGCCAGCACUGCACAGACAGCUGCAACCAGAGACUGGAGGGAAAUAACCUCCUGAAAUCACCAAAGAGCAGUUCCUCAGGGCCUCCCGGGUGACCGUGGCUGUGGA